Molecule: long non-coding RNA, 404 nt
Filed under: Coturnix japonica (Japanese quail)
Lineage: Eukaryota; Metazoa; Chordata; Aves; Galliformes; Phasianidae
Description: lncRNA (ENSCJPG00005002837.1)
Source: RNAcentral
AUGUGCUGCCCAGAUGUGUCUCCCACCUCCACUUUUCUCGUAGGACUGAUGUGCUUGACAGCUUUCAGCAACUUUGCUAAGACUUCUGCAGACUUCUCAGGUUACAUUUCACAGGUAUUAAAAAAUUACACUGAUCAUGCCUGUGAUGGAGAAUAUGUUUCCCUGAGGUGCCCCCACAGAACUACCAUCAGCAUCCAGUCUUCUUUCUAUGGCAGAAUUGUACCAAGUCAUCAGAUGUGUCCUUCUCGCUCUCCCCGCUCCUUUGCAACCUUAAUUAAGGAAGAUGUUGCCUGUUCAGUUGGCACUUCCCUUCAGGUAUUUCAUGUUAAACUGGAUCUGUUCAUUUUGGAGUUCUUUCCUAGGCCAGACAUUUCUUAAUUUUCCUGUGGUUCUAGUCAGUAUUC